RNAcentral lists this ribosomal RNA (262 nucleotides) under uncultured bacterium. RNAcentral describes it as "partial 16S ribosomal RNA". It matches the Rfam family "Bacterial small subunit ribosomal RNA", at positions 1229 to 1500 of the family's 1533-position model. The record is from RNAcentral.
UAGGCAGGUACAGCGGGAAGCCACCUGGCGACAGGGAGCGGAACCCGAAAGCCUGUCUCAGUUCGGAUUGGAGUCUGCAACCCGACUCCAUGAAGCUGGAUUCGCUAGUAAUCGCGCAUCAGCCACGGCGCGGUGAAUACGUUCCCGGGCCUUGUACACACCGCCCGUCAAGCCAUGGAAGCCGGGGGUGCCUGAAGUGCGCUGCCGCAAGGAGCGCCCUAGGGUAAAACCGGUGACUGGGGCUAAGUCGUAACAAGGUACC